Molecule: ribosomal RNA, 332 nt
Filed under: uncultured bacterium
Lineage: Bacteria
Description: bacterial SSU rRNA
Rfam family: Bacterial small subunit ribosomal RNA
Source: RNAcentral
CGUGUAGGCGGCUUGUUAAGUCUUGCGUGAAAUCUCGGGGCUCAACCCCGAGCGGUCGUGAGAAACUGGCAGGCUAGAGUGCGGGAGAGGAGAGUGGAAUUCCUGGUGUAGCGGUGAAAUGCGCAGAUAUCAGGAAGAACACCCGUGGCGAAGGCGGCUCUCUGGAACGCAACUGACGCUGAGACGCGAAAGCGUGGGGAGCAAACAGGAUUAGAUACCCUGGUAGUCCACGCCGUAAACGAUGGAUGCUAGGUGUGGGCGGUGUCGACUCCGUCCGUGCCGAAGCUAACGCAUUAAGCAUCCCGCCUGGGGAGUACGGCCGCAAGGCUAAA